RNAcentral lists this ribosomal RNA (301 nucleotides) under uncultured bacterium. Its description in RNAcentral is "partial 16S ribosomal RNA". It matches the Rfam family "Bacterial small subunit ribosomal RNA", at positions 509 to 807 of the family's 1533-position model. The record is from RNAcentral.
CAGCCGCCGCGGUAAUACGUAGGUGGCAAGCGUUGUCCGGAAUUAUUGGGCGUAAAGGGCUCGCAGGCGGUUUCUUAGGUCUGAUGUGAAAGCCCCCGGCUCAACCGGGGAGGGUCAUUGGAAACUGGGAAACUUGAGUGCAGAAGAGGAGAGUGGAAUUCCACGUGUAGCGGUGAAAUGCGUAGAGAUGUGGAGGAACACCAGUGGCGAAGGCGACUCUCUGGUCUGUAACUGACGCUGAGGAGCGAAAGCGUGGGGAGCGAACAGGAUUAGAUACCCGCGUAGUCCCUGUCUCUUAUAC